UAUUCAUCCAUCCAUCCGUCUAUCCGUCCAUCCAUCCCCAUCACUCCAUCCAUCCAUCCGUCCAUCCAUUAUCUAUCUAUCUAUCUAUCUAUAUCUAUCUAUCUAUCUAUCUAUCUAUCUAUCUAUCUGAUCUAUCUACCUCAUAAUAUCACAGUGCUCUGAUGGAGGAGGAACAGGGCACUGUGGGCUCUCUGAGAAAGGCCAGAGAGGACUUCCUGGAGGGGUGACUUUUGGGUUUGCAUACCACGGCUAAGUGUGUGGGCUCUCAGGCCGCCUGGAUUUGAGUCCUGGCUGUGUGGUCUGGGGAAGGUGUUUAACCUCUCCUUGUCUCAAUUUCCGAAUCUGUGCAAUGAAGGUAGCCACAGUAAAUAACCUCUCAGGGUGGCUGUGAAGAGUCUGUGUGAUAAUGUGUGUGAAGCUCUCAACACAGUGUCCAGAAUGUAGAAAGCACAUAGGGAUACUAGCUAUGGGGAUGCCAACCUUGGGGAUGCUAGUUAUAGGGAUGCCAGCCUUGGGGAUACUAGUCUUGGGAAUACUAGCCAUGGAGAUGCCAGCCUUGGGGAUACUAGCUGUGGGGAUCCAGCCAUGGGGAUGCCAGCCUUGGAGAUGCUAGCCAUGGGGAUGCUAGUCUCAGGGAUACUAGCCAUGCGGAUGCCAGCCUUGGGGAUGCUAACUGUGGGGAUGCCAGCCACGGGGAUGCUAGCCAUGACUCACAUCAUCUUCCUCCUGGCUGGAAGAGGGGCUCUCUCUGCAGGUGGAGAGUGGGCUGGGGAGGGAGACUUCCAACUCGCAGCAGGAAACCCAGCUGGUGGGGAGAAAGGAGGGAAGGAUGUGUGCACAGAAGGGCUGGUUGAGCGCUGGGCAGCUUGUUCACUGCUGACGCUGGCACAUCCUUGCCCACUGUGGGCCCUGGUACCUGUGGGGGACAAACUGAGGGGACCUCCAGGGUAUGGGGCCACUGGGAGCUCCACCCACUGCUCCAGGCACUGAGGGCUGCAGUGCUCCCCUCCUGCCUAUCCUGUUGAACUAGCUAAAGGUAGGUGCCUGGGGCUGGGUGGAUACCUGGAUUCUCAGCAGUCAUAUGUGCAAAAAAUGACCCAAAUGCCUGCAGGGCCCAAGUCCUAUAGGCAUUUGGCAGAUCACUGGGGCUGGCAGCUGGAAGCUGGGAACUUUCAGUCAGGGGAAGGAGGGAGGCCUCUGCACCUCUGUUCUGCCUCUCCCCCUCACAGGACCCCGCCAGAGACUUGGGGCUGCUGCAGAGCCCAGCCCUCAGGCAGGGCCCUCAUACCCCGGGGCUCUGGAGCUGGGGAGGGUGGGAAGAGGUCCCCAGCAGGGUGCCAGGUGUGUGGGGCACACCACACUCCGGAUUCCCCAGGAGAAUGGGAGCCGAUGUUCUCAGCCAGAUGUGGCUCUGAGGGCUCAGUGCGGCGAGGGCCAAAGUCCCCUGCCCUGGAGCUUCCAGCCAGUCAGGACAGAGAGAGCACGGGCAAGCCCCUUCCCUUCCCUGGGCCUUCCUUUUCCCCCUCUGGAUUGGGGGAACGUUAGAGACUCUGAUUUAUCUGUGUUCCUGGGACACCAACAGGAAUUGCAGGCAGAUCUCAAUCAGAGUUGGAAGGAAGGAAGAUUAGGUCCAUAAUUCCGCAACCUGGCUAAUUGCCCAAAUCCCUGGUGUGAUUCUUGUUAAACUGCGAGAUGUCCAGGCCUCCCCCCGGCAGUGGCUGAUUCAGGAGGGAGGUGCCUCGGAAUCUGCAUCUUUGACACCUGCUCACUGCUGAAAUGGUGACGCAGCAUGCUCCCUUGUCACUCUGAUAGUCCAGGACUUCACUGUGCUAGUUCAUCAUCCGUCUCAGGAACCCCUCUACCUGUCCCCAGGACACCUGACCUCCAGAGCUGGGUCACCCCUAUCUCCAGGAAGACGGAUGGCCCGGCCAUUCAUUCGCGGGGCCAGCGGGAGGGAGCUUAGUUCUCCCCCAGGCAGCUCCUUGCCAGGGCCAUUCAUCACCCCGUAAUCACGGCUGGGAGGGAGCUCUUUCUCAGCUAAUUAAAAUCUCUCCGGCUGCAAUCGAGGCCUGCUUCCUCUAAUUUGUGUUCUUUGGAGAUGAGGAAUGGCUGACAGGGCCAGCCUUGUACACCACGAGGACUCUGCCACCUGCUGAGAGUACUCGAGCCCUGUCACCUGCCCCAGAUUCUGUCGAGUCCCAGUGGGAUCUGCACUGGGCUCCAUCAGCCUGAGCUUGGGCUAAGGGGGAAGGGCAGGCUCUGGGCAGGGGUGGAGCGUUCUCAGUCUCCCUCUAGGGUCCUUCCUGACCAGCCAGGUCCAACAGUGCAUCUGGGUCGGAAGCCCCAGGGAACAGAAGCAGAGGUGGGGGCAGAGGCAGGGGUAGGUGACUCGGAGGCACUGGUCUCAGGUGAGUCUGAGUUGCCCAGAGAGUUGGGGAUUUCCUAGUGGGAAGGUAGGGAGUUGAGGGUGCCAAUGCAAAGUCUGGACAAUCUGCUGGCUGGACACUGUUGGGCAGGCUCUCAGCCCCCUCUGGGGUCACAGAACUUUCUGCAAAGCUGAUGAAAGCUCUUAUCUUCUCCCAGUGAUGCAAUGAACACAACAUCAUGUCUGCAGCCAUGUGCCCAGCUCCAAGCUGUGGCCAACAUGUGAAUCCCAAGCCUGGCAUGCCCUCUCUCCUCCUUUCCCAGCUUCUCCAAAGCCUUUCUUGAGGCCUAGUUCCAGCCCCACCUCCUCCAGGAAGUCUGCCAUGAUGAUAUGUUCCACACUAGCUAGCUCCUCAGCUGACUUCUUCCUCUAUGAUUGGGGUGUCCUUUGGGGCCAUGCAGAAGAGGGCAAUAGAGACUGCAGUCACAGGGACCCCAGGGCCCACACCCACGGCCAGCACGGGAAGGACACACAGAGAGUCAGUGUAGGCUUGAAUCCUCUUCCCCUCUCUUCCCCACACUGCCUGUGCUCUGUGUCACCAGGCUCCUGCCUGGGUCUUCCUGAAGGGUCCCUGGAGCCCAAUUCCUGGCCAGUAUGUGCUCUCUUCUGCCUGAUCCUCAGCCCCAAACCUGCCAACCUGCCCGAUCCUGGCUGGGCUCACCUUAGGCCCCCUGUCUGCAGCCUGAACCCCUACAGCCACGAUGAGGGCUGCCUCAGCAGCAGCCAGGACCACGUCCCUCUGGCCGCCCUUCCCCUGUUGGCCAUCUCCUCCCCGCAGUACCAGGAUGCUGUCGCCACCGUCAUCGAGCGAGCCAACCAGGUCUACAGAGAGUUCCUGAAGUCCUCUGAUGGGAUUGGCUUCAGUGGGCAGGUGUGUCUCAUCGGGGACUGUGUGGGGGGCCUCCUGGCCUUCGAUGCCAUCUGCUACAGUGCGGGGCCCUCGGGGGACAGCCCUGCCAGCAGCAGCCGGAAGGGGAGCAUCAGCAGCACCCAGGACACCCCAGUUGUGGUGGAGGAAGAUUGCAGCCUGGCCAGCAGCAAGCGUCUCAGCAAAAGCAACAUUGACAUCUCCAGUGGGUUGGAGGAUGAGGAGCCCAAGAGGCCGUUGCCGAGGAAACAGAGCGACUCCUCCACCUAUGACUGCGAGGCCAUCACUCAGCACCAUGCCUUCCUCUCAAGCAUCCACUCCAGCGUGCUAAAGGAUGAGUCUGAGACCCCGGCGGCCGGGGGGCCGCAGCUCCCUGAGGUCAGCCUGGGCCGCUUUGACUUCGACGUGUCCGACUUCUUCCUCUUCGGCUCGCCACUGGGCCUGGUCCUGGCCAUGCGGAGGACGGUGCUGCCUGGGCUGGACGGCUUCCAGGUGCGUCCUGCCUGCAGCCAGGUCUACAGCUUCUUCCAUUGCGCAGACCCCUCUGCCUCACGGCUUGAGCCACUGCUGGAGCCCAAGUUCCACCUGGUGCCGCCUGUCAGCGUGCCUCGCUACCAGAGGUUCCCACUGGGCGAUGGGCAGUCCCUCCUCCUCGCUGAUGCCCUACACACCCACAGCCCCCUCUUCCUGGAGGGCAGCUCCCGGGACAGCCCGCCACUUCUGGACGCCCCUGCCUCGCCCCCUCAGGCCUCGAGGUUCCAGCGCCCAGGACGGAGGAUGAGCGAAGGGAGCUCCCACAGCGAGAGCUCGGAGUCCUCGGACAGCAUGGCACCUGCGGGUGCCUCCCGCAUCACAGCCAAGUGGUGGGGAAGCAAGAGGAUCGACUAUGCCCUGUACUGCCCUGAUGUCCUCACGGCCUUCCCCACCGUGGCCCUGCCCCACCUCUUCCACGCCAGCUACUGGGAGUCCACGGAUGUGGUGGCCUUCAUCCUGAGACAGGUGAUGCGCUAUGAGAGCGUGAACAUCAAGGAGAGCGCCCGCCUGGACCCCGCGGCACUGAGUCCCGCCAACCCCCGGGAGAAGUGGCUUCGUAAGCGGACUCAGGUCAAGCUGAGGAAUGUCACGGCUAAUCACCGGGCUAACGAUGUGAUUGCUGCUGAAGAUGGCCCCCAGGUCCUGGUGGGGCGGUUCAUGUACGGGCCCCUCGACAUGGUGGCUCUGACUGGAGAGAAGGUGGACAUCCUAGUAAUGGCAGAGCCGUCCUCAGGCCGCUGGGUACACCUGGACACAGAGAUCACCAACAGCAGUGGUCGCAUCACAUACAAUGUGCCGCGGCCCCGGCGCCUGGGGGUCGGCGUCUAUCCUGUGAAGAUGGUCGUCAGGGGCGACCAGACCUGCGCCAUGAGCUACCUCACGGUGUUGCCCCGGGGCAUGGAGUGCGUCGUGUUCAGCAUUGACGGGUCCUUUGCGGCCAGCGUGUCUAUCAUGGGAAGCGACCCCAAGGUCCGGCCGGGUGCAGUGGACGUUGUCCGGCACUGGCAGGACCUGGGCUACAUGAUCCUUUACAUCACGGGACGGCCGGACAUGCAGAAGCAGCGGGUGGUGUCGUGGCUGUCGCAGCACAACUUCCCACAGGGCAUGAUCUUCUUCUCCGACGGGCUGGUGCAUGACCCGCUGCGGCAGAAGGCCAUCUUCCUGCGCAACCUCAUGCAGGAGUGCUUCAUCAAAAUCAGUGCGGCCUAUGGCUCCACGAAGGACAUCUCUGUCUACAGCGUGCUGGGCCUGCCUGCCUCCCAGAUCUUCAUUGUGGGCCGGCCCACCAAGAAGUACCAAACCCAGUGCCAGUUCCUGAACGAGGGCUACGCCGCACACCUGGCCGCGCUGGAGGCCAGCCACCGCUCACGCCCAAAGAAGAACAACUCGCGCAUGAUCCUGCGCAAGGGCAGCUUCGGGCUGCACGCGCAGCCAGAGUUCCUGCGGAAGCGCAACCACCUGCGCAGAACCAUGUCCGUGCAGCAGCCUGACCCGCCCGCCGCCAACCCCAAGCCCGAGCGGGCCCAGAGCCAGCCCGAGUCGGACAAGGACCACG
Molecule: small RNA, 5382 nt
Filed under: Pongo abelii (Sumatran orangutan)
Lineage: Eukaryota; Metazoa; Chordata; Mammalia; Primates; Hominidae
Description: retained intron
Source: RNAcentral